CCAAGGGGAAAGUGACUUUACCCAAGAGAGAGAUUUUUAAAUAUUCCCCCAACUGCUCUGAUGGGACCGUCUAGUUGCAGGAAAACAAGCUCAAGGCUCCCACUGAUUCUACAUUACAUCCAUGGAAAAACUGUCUUCCCUGGUGCCAAAAAGGUUGACCGCUGUUCUGCAGCAAGGUCUUUAAACAAUGCCUGGGACAUAGACAAUCCCUCAGAAAGAUGCUUAUCUAAUGUUCCCAGUGGUCAUGACUUUUGGCAAGAAAGUCUGAGAUGUGACCGGCUGCACAUGACUUUACCUAAAAGCUUGCUAUGUGAAGGACACUUUCUGGAGAGUGGGUGUAGGAAUUCAUUGUUUCACUGCUGCCCAAGACAGCACUACUGUUUGUAAGCCCCUAUUAAAUAUUUCUUUCUGAGAAA
This 416-nucleotide non-coding RNA is filed under the name Pongo abelii (Sumatran orangutan). Lineage: Eukaryota; Metazoa; Chordata; Mammalia; Primates; Hominidae. The record is from RNAcentral.